AGCUUGGGGGCCAGGACUAACACAUGCAAUCGGAGCGGUAGAGAGAAAGCUUGCUUCAUCUUGAAAAACCGGCGGACGGGGGAGUAAUACCCUAGGAAUCUACCCGAUAGUGGGGGGAAAAAGUUCGGAAACGGAACGCUAAUACCGCAUACGUCCUACGGGAGAAAGCAGGGGGACCUUUCGGGCCCUGCGCUAUCAGAUGAGCCCUAGGUCGGAUUAGCUAGUUGGUGAGGUAAAUGACUCACACAAAGCUACGAUCCGUAACUGGUCUGAGAGGAUGAUCAGUCACACUGGAACUGAGACACGGUCCAGACUCCUACGGGAGGCAGCAGUGGGGAAUAUUGGACAAUGGGCGAAAGCCUGAUCCAGCCAUACCGCGUGUGUGAAGAAGGUCUUCGGAUUGUAAAGCACUUUAAGUUGGGAGGAAGGGCAUUAACCUAAUACGUUAGUGUCUUGACGUUACCGACAGAAUAAGCACCGGCUAACUCUGUGCCAGCAGCCGCGGUAAUACAGAGGGUGCAAGCGUUAAUCGGAAUUACUGGGCGUAAAGCGCGCGUAGGUGGUUUGUUAAGUUGAAUGUGAAAUCCCCGGGCUCAACCUGGGAACUGCAUCCAAAACUGGCAAGCUAGAGUAUGGUAGAGGGUAGUGGAAUUUCCUGUGUAGCGGUGAAAUGCGUAGAUAUAGGAAGGAACACCAGUGGCGAAGGCGACUACCUGGACUGAUACUGACACUGAGGUGCGAAAGCGUGGGGAGCAUACAAAAUUAGAUACCCUGGUAGUCCACGCCGUAAACGAUGUCAAGGAGCCGUUGGGAGUCUCGAACUCAUAGAGCGCAGCUAAGGCCCUAAGUUCAACGCUUUGGGGUUGCCC
Molecule: ribosomal RNA, 869 nt
Filed under: Pseudomonas sp. S19
Lineage: Bacteria; Pseudomonadati; Pseudomonadota; Gammaproteobacteria; Pseudomonadales; Pseudomonadaceae
Description: bacterial SSU rRNA
Rfam family: Bacterial small subunit ribosomal RNA
Source: RNAcentral